UAUUGGUCCCCCCGCAACGAUAACUUGUGAACCCCGCCAGGCCCGGAAGGGAGCAACGGUAGCAAGCGACUCGUGUGCCGGGGUGCGGCUGAUAGAG
This 97-nucleotide signal recognition particle RNA is filed under the name Ketobacter sp. RNAcentral describes it as "Bacterial small signal recognition particle RNA". It matches the Rfam family "Bacterial small signal recognition particle RNA". From Rfam's summary of the family: The signal recognition particle (SRP) is a universally conserved ribonucleoprotein involved in the co-translational targeting of proteins to membranes. Archaeal SRP consists of a 7S RNA and homologues of the eukaryotic SRP19 and SRP54 proteins. Lineage: Bacteria; Pseudomonadati; Pseudomonadota; Gammaproteobacteria; Pseudomonadales; Ketobacteraceae. The record is from Rfam by way of RNAcentral. RNAcentral also lists the same sequence under 1 other name.